GACGAACGCUGGCGGCGUGCUUAACACAUGCAAGUCGAACGGACAGGCCCUGCUUUUGUGGGGUGCUCGAGUGGCGAACGGGUGAGUAACACGUGUGUAACCUGCCCUUGACUUUGGGAUAACUUCAGGAAACUGGGGCUAAUACCGGAUAGGAGCUCCUGCUGCAUGGUGGGGGUUGGAAAGUUUCGGCCGUUGUGGAUGGACUCGCAGCUUAUCAGCUUGUUGGUGGGGUAGUGGCUUACGAAGGGUUUGACGGGUAGCCGGCCUGAGAGGGUGACCGGCGACAAUGGGCCUAAGAGAGGGACCAGAAGCGAACGGGAGGCAGUGGGCGGGAGUAUGGCAGAGUGGCGGGAAGCGUGAGGUGACAGCGUCGCGUGCGGAAUGCCGGGCUUCGAGGUGUGAACCGAUGUCGACUGUGACGUAGAGGGAGUGACGGUAAUGGAUAAAGAAGCAACGGCUAACUACGUG
RNAcentral lists this ribosomal RNA (468 nucleotides) under uncultured bacterium. RNAcentral's name for it is "partial 16S ribosomal RNA". It matches the Rfam family "Bacterial small subunit ribosomal RNA", at positions 28 to 507 of the family's 1533-position model. The record is from RNAcentral.